AAUGAACGCUGGCGGCAGGCCUAACACAUGCAAGUCGAACGGGUCCUUCGGGAUUAGUGGCGGACGGGUGAGUAACGCGUGGGAACAUACCCUUUGGUACGGAAUAGCCUCGGGAAACUGAGAGUAAUACCGUAUGUGCCCUUCGGGGGAAAGAUUUAUCGCCAAAGGAUUGGCCCGCGUUGGAUUAGGUAGUUGGUGGGGUAAUGGCCUACCAAGCCGACGAUCCAUAGCUGGUUUGAGAGGAUGAUCAGCCACACUGGGACUGAGACACGGCCCAGACUCCUACGGGAGGCAGCAGUGGGGAAUCUUAGACAAUGGGGGAAACCCUGAUCUAGCCAUGCCGCGUGAUCGAUGAAGGCCUUAGGGUUGUAAAGAUCUUUCAGAUGGGAAGAUAAUGACGGUACCAUCAGAAGAAGCCCCGGCUAACUCCGUGCCAGCAGCCGCGGUAAUACGGAGGGGGCUAGCGUUAUUCGGAAUUACUGGGCGUAAAGCGCACGUAGGCGGAUCAGAAAGUCAGAGGUGAAAUCCCAGGGCUCAACCUUGGAACUGCCUUUGAAACUCCUGGUCUUGAGGUCGAGAGAGGUGAGUGGAAUUCCGAGUGUAGAGGUGAAAUUCGUAGAUAUUCGGAGGAACACCAGUGGCGAAAGGCGGCUCACUGGCUCGAUACUGACGCUGAGGUGCGAAAGCGUGGGGGUAGCAAACAGGAUUAGAUACCCUGG
RNAcentral lists this ribosomal RNA (719 nucleotides) under uncultured bacterium. RNAcentral's name for it is "bacterial SSU rRNA". It matches the Rfam family "Bacterial small subunit ribosomal RNA", at positions 28 to 790 of the family's 1533-position model. The record is from RNAcentral.